UGGCAGCGGCGGCGGGUC
Molecule: unclassified non-coding RNA, 18 nt
Filed under: Chlamydomonas reinhardtii
Lineage: Eukaryota; Viridiplantae; Chlorophyta; Chlorophyceae; Chlamydomonadales; Chlamydomonadaceae
Description: small RNA Cre_3293
Source: RNAcentral